RNAcentral lists this ribosomal RNA (481 nucleotides) under uncultured bacterium. RNAcentral's name for it is "partial 16S ribosomal RNA". It matches the Rfam family "Bacterial small subunit ribosomal RNA", at positions 30 to 507 of the family's 1533-position model. The record is from RNAcentral.
AUUGAACGCUGGCGGCAUGCUUUACACAUGCAAGUCGAACGGUAACAGGCCGCAAGGUGCUGACGAGUGGCGAACGGGUGAGUAAUGCAUCGGAACGUGCCCAGUCGUGGGGGAUAACUACUCGAAAGAGUAGCUAAUACCGCAUACGAUCUAUGGAUGAAGCGGGGGACCGUAAGGCCUCGCGCGAUUUGAGCGGCCGAUGUCAGAUUAGGUAGUUGGUGGGGUAAAGGCUCACCAAGCCAACGAUCUGUAGCUGGUCUGAGAGGACGACCAGCCACACUGGGACUGAGACACGGCCCAGACUCCUACGGGAGGCAGCAGUGGGGAAUUUUGGACAAUGGGCGCAAGCCUGAUCCAGCAAUGCCACGUGCAGGAAGAAGGCCUUCGGGUUGUAAACUGCUUUUGUACGGAACGAAACGGCUCUGGUUAAUACCCGGGGCUAAUGACGGUACCGUAAGAAUAAGCACCGGCUAACUACGUG